CUCUACUAGGAGGUCAAGUCGCUGC
Molecule: non-coding RNA, 25 nt
Filed under: Cricetulus griseus (Chinese hamster)
Lineage: Eukaryota; Metazoa; Chordata; Mammalia; Rodentia; Cricetidae
Source: RNAcentral